Non-coding RNA from Arachis ipaensis, 1471 nucleotides. The record is from RefSeq and is a predicted model, not a curated record. Lineage: Eukaryota; Viridiplantae; Streptophyta; Magnoliopsida; Fabales; Fabaceae.
UCCCAAAAAUAAAGAUCUCAGUAUUUUAAAAGCUUAAACAAACACUCAAAGCCCAUAGUCACCAAAAACCAUUCAAAGCCCAUACUGAAGAUGCAAACAGUGGUUAGCUUCGAGUGAGAUGGAUCGAAACCCUAAAUUACAGCCAUCGUUGUGCCGUCAUUACCGCCACUGCCAUCGCCACUGCUACAGCCAUUCAUCUCCUUGAUGCAAGCACCAAUGCCACCACGUGCUUCGACAAUCUCUUCUCCCGUUGUCUCUUCUGUCGAUGGGUCUCUUCAGAUCACGAGACGGUAACUUUUGAGAAAGAACCCAUGCCUUCGAACCUCGCCAGCAGCGAAGAAAGCGACGAAAAGCAAAGCUUCUCCUCCAAAAACAAAUUCUCUUCCCGCAAUGCUUUUCUAAGUACGAUUUUGUUAAGGUGAAGGUGCGGUUGGGUGAUAAUACGGAUCAUUACUAUGUUCUGUCUAGAUUUUUGCUCAGUAGGAUUCUAACUGUAACCAAGAGAAAUGUAGAUUUUAUUUGGAAACUGGAAAUGUGACAGUUGAACUUGGUGGCAUUCAGAAGGAGGUCUCGCGGUGCAUAAAUUGCGAUGGUGCUGGUUACCUCGUUCACACACCAACAAUACUUUACAAGAUAGGAUAAGUUGUCCUAUAUUGGCCUUAUAAAAUGUUUUGAUAUCAUCUUUUAUCAUUUUCUGGUUUAUUUUAGCAUGUGACCAUCUUAUAGUGGCCUACCUUUUAUGAAUAUUUAGAUAUUAAUUGAAGUAAAGAAUGGAGGACAUAGCUUGUGCCCUCAGAGGAAAAGUGAGAAACAAAAACAGAAAAGGACAUAUUCUAUGAGUUUGUGAUCCAGUGAUGGGUGACGAAGGAAAACUUUAUGUUCCUCAAGAGCUAAUAUUAAUCUAUCGUGAAAGGGUAAGACUAUUUAGCAAAGAUGUUUCUACAGGUGUUCAUGUGCAAAUAAUAUAUACAAUGCAUCAAGUUUAAAGAAUAUAAAUCUUUUAGCUCAGUUACCAAUAAUUGAAAACUCAUUUUUCUUUGCAUUGGACGGCCAAAUUAAUAAGGGAAAGAAGAAACUAUUACAUUAUUACCGUAUUCUUUUGUGGAAAAAAGUAAAAGGUGCUUUUCACCUUACUUUAAUUUAUGUUAUAGUUUCACGUGAAUGAAGUAAUGAAUAAGUGUGGUUAAGGUCACUAACAUAUACAUACUAUACUAGUACUAGCAUGUAAGAAAUAAUAAAUAUAUGGUUUUAUUUGUAAGAAUUAGGAAAAGAAAGAGAGACAGCAGGGGAGGGGUUACAUCCUUUUCACCUUUCACUACCUUUCAACUAAAAAAAGGAAAUGUAAUGUAAUGAUAUUGAAGGCAAGGAGGGCAUUGAGAGCGCUAAAAGCAUUGGUGAAGUUGCAAGCAUUGGUUAGGGGCCACAUCAUGAGAAAGCAAACCGCAGAUAUGCUAAGGCGCAUGCAAACAUU